RNAcentral lists this ribosomal RNA (253 nucleotides) under uncultured bacterium. RNAcentral describes it as "partial 16S ribosomal RNA". It matches the Rfam family "Bacterial small subunit ribosomal RNA", at positions 524 to 776 of the family's 1533-position model. The record is from RNAcentral.
UACAGAGGUCCCAAGCGUUGUUCGGAAUUACUGGGCGUAAAGCGCGCGUAGGCGGACCUGCAAGUCGGGGGUGAAAGCCCGAGGCUCAACCUCGGAACUGCCUUCGAUACUGCGGGUCUCGAGUCCGGGAGAGAUGAGUGGAAUUCCUAGUGUAGAGGUGAAAUUCGUAGAUAUUAGGAAGAACACCAGUGGCGAAGGCGGCUCACUGGCCCGGUACUGACGCUGAGGCGCGAAAGCGUGGGGAGCAAACAGG